CUAUACAUGCAGUCGAGCGAACAGACGAGGAGCUUGCUCCUUUGACGUUAGCGGCGGACGGGUGAGUAACACGUGGGUAACCUACCUAUAAGACUGGGAUAACUUCGGGAAACCGGAGCUAAUACCGGAUAAUAUUUCGAACCGCAUGGUUCGAUAGUGAAAGAUGGCUCUGCUAUCACUUAUAGAUGGACCUGCGCCGUAUUAGCUAGUUGGUAAGGUAACGGCUUACCAAGGCAACGAUACGUAGCCGACCUGAGAGGGUGAUCGGCCACACUGGAACUGAGACACGGUCCAGACUCCUACGGGAGGCAGCAGUAGGGAAUCUUCCGCAAUGGGCGAAAGCCUGACGGAGCAACGCCGCGUGAGUGAUGAAGGUCUUCGGAUCGUAAAACUCUGUUAUUAGGGAAGAACAAACGUGUAAGUAACUGUGCACGUCUUGACGGUACCUAAUCAGAAAGCCACGGCUAACUACGUGCCAGCAGCGGCCGGUAAUAAA
Molecule: ribosomal RNA, 496 nt
Filed under: Staphylococcus hominis
Lineage: Bacteria; Bacillati; Bacillota; Bacilli; Caryophanales; Staphylococcaceae
Description: bacterial SSU rRNA
Rfam family: Bacterial small subunit ribosomal RNA
Source: RNAcentral